UCUAGAGCUGAAAGACUUAGUAUGGACUUCC
RNAcentral lists this non-coding RNA (31 nucleotides) under Mus musculus (house mouse). Lineage: Eukaryota; Metazoa; Chordata; Mammalia; Rodentia; Muridae. The record is from RNAcentral.